AUAGAAUUUAAGGUCUAACCUGCCCAUUGAUUAUUUUAACGGCCGCAGUAUUUUGACUGUGCAAAGGUAGCAUAAUCAUUAGUUUUUUAAUUGAAAGCUUGUAUGAAUGGUUGGACGAGAUGUAAUCUGUCUUUAAUUUAUAAGUAGAAUUUAAUUUUUAAGUUAAAAAGCUUAAAUAAUUUUAAUAGACGAGAAGACCCUAUAGAUCUUUAUAAAUAUAAAGAUUUAAUUUUUAAGGAUUAUUAAAUUUUAUAUUUUUUUAUUUAUUUAAUUGGGGUAAUGAAAAGAUUUAAAAAAUUCUUUUUAAGAUAAACAUAGAUAAAUGAUUUAAAUGAUCCAUUAUUAUUGAUUAUAAGAUUAAGUUACCUUAGGGAUAACAGCGUAAUUUUUUUUGAGAGUUCUUAUCGAUAAAAAAGUUUGCGACCUCGAUGUUGGAUUAAAAUUAAUUUUAGGUGUAGGAGUUUAAAGUUUUAGUCUGUUCGACUAUUAAAAUUUUACAUGAUCUGAGUUCAAACCGGUGUAAGCCAGGUUGGUUUCUAUCUUUAGUUAGUUAAUAUAUUUUAGUACGAAAGGACCAAGUAUUUAAUAUAUAAUAUUUAAAAAUUUGAAUGAAAUU
Molecule: ribosomal RNA, 616 nt
Filed under: Limbodessus sp. ABTC-75354
Lineage: Eukaryota; Metazoa; Arthropoda; Insecta; Coleoptera; Dytiscidae
Description: partial 16S ribosomal RNA
Rfam family: Bacterial large subunit ribosomal RNA (bases 373-531)
Source: RNAcentral